UGACGAGUCCCAAACAGGACGAAAUGCGCAUC
Molecule: non-coding RNA, 32 nt
Filed under: Trichobilharzia regenti
Lineage: Eukaryota; Metazoa; Platyhelminthes; Trematoda; Strigeidida; Schistosomatidae
Source: RNAcentral